RNAcentral lists this non-coding RNA (240 nucleotides) under Amylolactobacillus amylophilus. RNAcentral describes it as "Lactobacillus amylophilus T-box sequence". It matches the Rfam family "T-box leader". Rfam says of the family: Uncharged tRNA acts as the effector for transcription antitermination of genes in the T-box leader family. Lineage: Bacteria; Bacillati; Bacillota; Bacilli; Lactobacillales; Lactobacillaceae. The record is from RNAcentral.
UAAAGAACAAUGAAAAGAUGAGUACAGGUAUUUCAUUAUUCUCAGAGAGUCUACGUGUGGUGUGAGUAGAUAAUAAUACUGCUUGGAAAAUGGUCUUGAAGCGUCGUAACACUGAGCCUUAAUGUAAAGUUUUACUGGGUACGCCCAUUAUAGCGUGCGGGUAUGUUGGUACUCAGUGAGGGAUUAUGCUUUUUCAUAAUCUAAAUUAAGGUGGUAACACGAUUCAAUGUCGUCCUUACU